This 1198-nucleotide long non-coding RNA is filed under the name Equus asinus (donkey). RNAcentral describes it as "lncRNA (ENSEASG00005036603.1)". Lineage: Eukaryota; Metazoa; Chordata; Mammalia; Perissodactyla; Equidae. The record is from RNAcentral.
CUGAAAAGUGGGAAUAAUAGGAAGACUCUCUUCAUCGCAGGCUUGUUGUGAGGACGAGAUAGUCCUAAGUCACAACAACUGUUAGCUGCUAUUCUUCCUGCUUCCAGCCUGGCCCCCUGAGGAGGGCUCCAUCUAACACCUGCCGGCCACGCCCCUCUCCCCGCCCCCAAAUCACUGCUUCAGAGAAGAGAGCAAAAGAGACAGGUUGCCCGGGAGAGCCCUUUCAUGGGGCGUGGCUCUGCCCCUAGGUCCCCAGGAGUGAUCAUAAUUUGACGUGUCACAGAGGCAGCAGCUUUAAAAGGGCAAGAACUGGACAUUCCUUCAGCAAUGGGGAUUGUUCUGUCACAUCGUGCUGCUUAAGUCUGGGAGCCAGGGUGGGAGGUACUGGGUUACAAGAAGGGAACAGGUGUGAGGGGUGACAACAUACUCAUUCAGCUUUGGACUCGUGCCUGUGGGGGUCCUGUAGGAGAUCUUGCGGACCUGUGCAGUGGGCCGUCGGAAAGGCAAGCCUGACCCUUUCAAGAGAGGUCAGGCCUGGAGACCAAGGGCACUGAAAGAGAACACAGGGCUGAUUCCUUGACCUUUUGCAGUUCAUAGUCUAAUGAGGAAUACGAAUAAUUACAAAGGUCUUCCACAGCCUGGAACCAGCCAGCCCCCUGCAGGGACCCCUCUUCUCCCGCUCUCCACCUCUGCACCACUAGCUGGAGGCCCUCGUCCCACCUGUGCCAAAGACUGCUGCAGCCUCCAAGAUGUGGCUUAAAUGGUGCUGCCUCCACCACGGUCUCUAGGAUGUCGCCUUGCUGAUUCUCCUGCAACACUUGAAAGGUAUCACCUAUCUGAAAGGUCAGCUCUGCAAGCUCUUGUCCAGCUCUUUACCCUCCUACGAGUCCUCACACCGAAUACUGCACAUUGAAAUUGCUGAGGGUGUGUGUGCAAUCCUGCCUCCGACCGAGUCUGCAGUCCCUGUUAAGUAGACAUGGUGAAAAAGCUUAACCACAUGUAGGCUGUUGAUCUGGCCACUUUGAACUAUUACUGCUACUUUGCUUGAGUUUAUUGUUGCCACGUUGACCAGUCAGUCAAUAAACAACAAGAAGUGGCUGGAAAACCGUGGCAUGAUGCCCCUUUGGCAAAAUGAUAAAAUGGGCAACAAUUUCUGCUUUGUUGCUUGUCCUGCCUCUUUACGUUGUGCCUUCCUGAG